GCCGGGCGUGGUGGCUCAUGCCUGUAAUCCCGGCACUUUGGGAGGCUGAGGUGGGUGGAUCACCUGAGGUCGGGAGUUCGAGCCUAGCCUGACCAACAUGGAGAAACCCCGUCUCUA
RNAcentral lists this small RNA (117 nucleotides) under Macaca mulatta (Rhesus monkey). RNAcentral's name for it is "Metazoan signal recognition particle RNA (ENSMMUG00000057332.1)". The record is from Rfam by way of RNAcentral. Lineage: Eukaryota; Metazoa; Chordata; Mammalia; Primates; Cercopithecidae.